GAUGGAGAGAGGCAGAAGAAUAGAGUUCCAGACAGUUGUAGAAUGUAUGCCAAGACACAUUGUAAGAGCUAUAAAGAGAGAGGGAGUGGGAGAGAGAACAGGCAGAACCUGAUAUGUAAAUGAGCAGAGCAAACGAAAGUAACAUUUGAUGACCUGAUGAUCAUUCCAGACUCUGUUUCUAUUGAGAGAUAAAAGGCUGGUUGAAUGAGUUGCCUAUGAAAGCUACUUCAACUGCAAGAAAACAGCUGCACCAGUGACUGUAAGGGGUCAGUGCUCUAAAAUGAGUCUCUCUGAGGAU
Molecule: non-coding RNA, 298 nt
Organism: Oncorhynchus mykiss (rainbow trout)
Lineage: Eukaryota; Metazoa; Chordata; Actinopteri; Salmoniformes; Salmonidae
Source: RefSeq, a predicted model, not a curated record